Cydia splendana is the source of this 2875-nucleotide long non-coding RNA. RefSeq lists it as uncharacterized. NCBI's taxonomy places the organism in Eukaryota, Metazoa, Arthropoda, Insecta, Lepidoptera, Tortricidae. The transcript is spliced from 3 exons. The record is from RefSeq and is a predicted model, not a curated record.
UAUAUCAUAUUGCGCGUGGAAUCUACUGUCGUCUUUUAACGAUAGUCGUAUUUUUAUCGUUUUGCUUAACAUGGUUACGGGCUACGAUAAGAAUACCACGUCGAUAUCGUAUAAAGUUAUCCACUAUCAUUCGUAAGUGACCACGAUUGUCUAUGCCUAGAGUUUAUGAAAAAUCCAUUUAAUGCCUGGCUUUAUUAAAAUGUCGGACGUGCGUCGGACGAUGUUUGAAAACGAAUAGUUAGUUUUAUUACUACACUUCCAAAUUGAAAAAUGUUUAAAUGAGUGACAGCUUUAUACAAAUUGACUUACAUUAUAACAUGCACGGAUAAUCGUGUUUUCUCAACUGACAAUUCACUUGACAUUGACAAGCAUCGCGUACGCGCAUGAUUCAGUGAAUUUAGUGAACAUACAAACUAAGUCGAAGAAAAAUACUGAUUUGCUGUGUGAACUAAAGGAAAUGCCACCCAAAAUGUAAGUUUCUCUAAUUUAUUUAUAGAAAAAGUUAUAGUUCGUUUGAUCAUUAACUGGUUUUGUCAUGAAUAUGUUUAAUUUCAGACGAUGCUUCGGCGCACAAGAAAAUGCUAGCCAAAUAUAUAUAACUCAGCAUCCCCUGUUCGCCUACACCUACAGGGAGAUCCAUGAGCCUCUCGGAAGCCAGAGAUACAAAAUGCAAUGCUUCACAUUGCACAUAACUUCUAAGAUCCAGAAGAAAGGAUUGAAGAUGGUCCGUCGGGCCUGGGCAUUAUGAUCAUCGAGGGGCGGCACACGGAAGCCGGCCGAGGAAUCUUCGUCUCCGACUUACAAGAAGGCAGCGCUGCCGAACAGUCAUGACAUAUUGGAGGCUUGAAAGUGCACAUACCCAUACAUUGGACGUUAAGCUCAACGAGACCAUGCGAUGCAUCUCAGGCACUAUCCGAUCUACAACCGCCACUGGCUGCCGGCAUUGAGUCACAUUGCCCCUCCUCACAUCCGACGACUCAAGGCGUUGAAGAGGGAGGCUGAGAAUAUCACGAAUAACCCCACCCUGACCCUGUGCUACAGCUGGGAGCCUGAGCAGCUUUAAUAUUUCGGAUAGGUGGAUAGCGGAUUGGUCAGCUUCGGCAGCUCGGAGUUGCUGUAUAUCUGACCCAACUAAAAAACCAAAAGGGUUUGACCUUCCUCGGAAAAUCUGGUGCCGCCUGAGAACCGGACACUCAUACCCUGGGCCUGUUGAGGACCUGAAGACCGUGACACCUGACUUGGUUGCUUAGCUUGGCAACCUCAAGGCUACACUCUGAAUGCCACUUUAUUGGAGCAUUCCACGAGCUGUCCCGUACAAACGCAUUUUAUUUCCUGUGUUGCGACUUUUUUUUUUCGCCAUUUAAAGCAAGCGAAUAAUUUUCCGUGCAUGUUUGACCAUUUGUCAUAGAAAAGGAAACUCUUAUACCUGCAAAUCUCCAGAAAAUCUGCAUUUCUACGGGACAAACGGUAGUCAAUUUCAUGGAAUGCUCCAUUGCCAAAACAUGAUAAGUUGAUGGCAGAAAAAAUAUUAGGAAUACAAACCAUAUACCUACAUAUAAAUUCUAUGUUAAGUAUGUACUAAGUUAUUCUAGGUUAAGUACUAACUUAUUGUCUACUCUAUACAUAGGUAAUUACAUUUAGCAAGACAUGUUGGCCGUGGGUACCAAGCUCAGCAUGUGCUAGACUGGUGUCCAGCGCUGGUUUUCAGUUUGGCCCCUUUUUGUUGGAGGUCUGAGAGGAAUGUUGAUCUUUUCUACACCGUUAAGCAUUCUAUUUAUAUUGGAAACGAAACUUAUAGAUGAGCAGUUAUGAAAUAGCAAUAAAUGUGCCCCGGGCGACGUCCAAGGGGGGGCGCCAAAAUGGGCUAAAGACUACCUCUCCGCCUUGCCAAAGGCAGCAGGGAAACUUUUGUCAGUCGUAUUUACCACCACUGUGAAGUGUGAAAUGCGGAUGGUAAUCUGGCCCACAGCGCAAAGGGAGAAAGACGAUCUUUUAGGAACUCUUUUUGCAUCGAACUCGAUCUUGAAAGACGACGGUAGCGCCCUACCGCCCACCAUCCCGUAGUGUGAAUACUCUAUGCCAGAAACUUCUAUCAAGCAGAGGGAUAUUCGGCGGGAGUUGCUAUGCUUUCGUUUUAUAAGGCGAGCGGGCCAAGUGCUUCAGAGUUGUGUCCAGUGUUAGCGCGUCUUUUACGUUAGGGGUCUCCUGUCGAAGUUACCAUCUUAUGGACUGUCCAAUAGACUACCUAUGCAAGUGGAUCGCUAGCCCUUUAUCCGGCUGGCGCAUAUGAGCCGUAGUUGACGGAACCUGAUGCUUCAAUAGCUGCUGCUGCAUAUCUGUGACAUGUUGUCUAUCGACGACAUUCAUCGAUAUGUGGACUACUGAGGAUUCCUAUACACUAUACAGGAUGGCUAAAAAAUAAUUACAUUCCCGUUGCCAGGGAGGUUUUGGGAUUAUACUGAGCAACUUUUGCUACGGGACCAACCUCGAAAUCGCGAAAAAAAGAGUUUACCCUCCCAUAGACUUUCGACCAGCCAAAACGUAUGAAACAGCCAAAUUUUUUUCGCGACUUAGGGGUUGGUCCCAUUUCGUUAGUUCAUUUCGUUUCGGAGAGGGGGGGGGGGGAGGCGCAAAUUUGGUGCCUGCCCCGGGCGCCAUAUCCUCUAGCUACGCCACUGCCCUCGCUCCGAGACGUUCCUGGUACAAAAGCUGUUCAUAGUAUAAUAAUCCAGCGAUAAAGCUGCUGGCAUGAUGGGCACUUUCACACCGGGUACGGCAGUGAAUGAUUUGUUUGUACACCUACAUUUAAUGUGUAAAUAAACUUUGUUUAAUUUUUUGGCAAUAGUUGUUUUAUUUACGCAUUUAUAAUAUUCUC